CUCGACAUUGAGAAACGGCCUCUGACUCAUGGAAGUGUUCUACUUAAUUAUUAAUUAUCUCUAGGAAACGUUUGUCAAACUUGUCUUUCAGGUGCAUGAAAAUGAUUUGUUUCUGUUUUCUAUUUUGUCUGUUUUUAAAUGAGACCUUCAGGGAUACUUUUAGUGAUUUUCUCUGUGUUAGAGAAGCUAACAUGAAAUCACACCACUUAUCGUCAGUGCUGUAAGUGACCACACUCAAGCUAGGAAGUGAUACCGCCACUAACACUUGAGCAGCAGAUCCUGCUUGAGACAUAAAGGUCAAUACAUGAAUUGACUGCACAGUAUCUGCUACACGGUUUAGUUUUGAAUAAUUAAGAAGUACGCUGCUAUCUACAGACCCCACUACUACCCACAAGUAUCAUUUACAUACAAUAACCUUCCUUCCCAAUAAGACGAAGCCUGUCGUUUUUGUCUUUCUCAUUCUUAGGCUCCUGAUGGCGCUGCAGGUCUUUGUCAAACUGGUUUCCCUAUCAGCAGCCAGCAUCAGCAGCUCAGAGUGACCUGCGCUGCCACUUCCAGCAGUCAGCAGAGGCAGAUGCUUCAGUCCAACAACUUCCUCAACAUGUCGAAGCUGCAUGCGGCAAACAGCCUCCCCUUCACUCCCUCCUCCUCCUGCUCCUCCUCUCCCCUCCUCAGAGGCCCCAACAUGGCCCCACAUCAACACACUGUGACAUUUUCAUCCUCUUCCUACCCCCAGGCCAGCUUACUGCAGCAGAGCAUCUCUCUGACAGACACGGAUAUCUUGCAGUGAGAUCAGAGGUUUUUACGAAUGUGUCAUGUUUGGUGUUCAGGAAAGGUCAAUCAGACACUUCAUCAUUGAGACUUUUGUUGUAAUUUUCUUACCUUUCCAUCACAAAACAGAAGCCUGCACACUUCAAUAACUCCUUUUUAUUAGAUGAAAAUGUUUCAAUUGAUAGUGUAUCUUCAUCAGGUCAGACGUACAACUACCUUAUACCCAUAUGUGCAGAAAAAAACAAGAGCAUCUUAUAUGGAUUACCUUUUUUAAUCAGUUCAACAUAACAACCAGUCAUGUGUACAAGCUUAUCCCUGUUUGAUUUUAAAACCCAUUUUAAAACCGUAUGUAAAAAAUAUCCUAUACACAGGAAAUGCUUUCAAAUGUGUAUAUAUGUAAAAACCUUCAAAGUAAGUCAUCUUGAGCUUUCCUGUACAUGCUUAGUGCUUAUUUAUUUUAAAAUGAAAGGUUUGUUGGAUACAUGUAUAAUGCAACAUGAGUAAUAUAUGAUUUUGUUUAUUUAAAUGCAUGUUACUGUCUUUUAAAAGUCUAGACCAGCGGUUCCCAACCUUUUUCAACUCAGGGCCCACUUAAGAAUCUAAAAAAAUGUUGCGGUCAACAUUCAACCAUAAACAAUACGGAGGCUAAAUGAAGUUCUGAUUGGUCAAUUCAGAACAUGUGACACGUUGUUAAUCCAGUAGUUCAGACCGCUGUGAAGGAUUGUAAUGACUGUUGCUAAGGAGGAUCAAGAAAGAAAAAGAAAAGAGGUUAAAAAAAAGAAAGAAAUUUUUCCACACAAAUCAUAAUGUUUUGCAAAUUAAUUGGCGGCCCACUUGCAAUGCCUUCGCGGACCACUAGGGGGCCGCGGCCCACAGGUUGGGAACCGCUGGUCUACAAGAAAGGGAUUUCCAGUGUGAUGGUAACUGUAUUUUUUGCACUUUGUUUUGGAGUUGAAAUGUGUAAUACACAAAGAAAUUGCCGGAAAAGUAUUGCAAAGACUUGAGGCUGCUAAUAAGAAUACAAUAUUUUGUAGUUUGUCAAAAACAAACUGAAGAUUGGCAAUCACCAGAUCAAAAUGAGAAGCCUGUGUUCAGUAACAUUAAAGGCAGCUAAAAGAA
Molecule: long non-coding RNA, 1890 nt
Organism: Notothenia coriiceps (black rockcod)
Lineage: Eukaryota; Metazoa; Chordata; Actinopteri; Perciformes; Nototheniidae
Exons: 2
Source: RefSeq, a predicted model, not a curated record